CUUGUAGGCGGUUUGUCGCGUCUGCUGUGAAAAUCCGGGGCUCAACCCCGGACUUGCAGUGGGUACGGGCAGACUAGAGUGUGGGUAGGGGAGACUGGAAUUCCUGGUGUAGCGGUGGAAUGCGCAGAUAUCAGGAGGAACACCGAUGGCGAAGGCAGGUCUCUGGGCCACUACUGACGCUGAGAAGCGAAAGCAUGGGGGAGCGAACA
RNAcentral lists this ribosomal RNA (209 nucleotides) under uncultured bacterium. RNAcentral describes it as "partial 16S ribosomal RNA". It matches the Rfam family "Bacterial small subunit ribosomal RNA", at positions 568 to 774 of the family's 1533-position model. The record is from RNAcentral.